UGAUGCUGGAUCAGUUCAAUACAUCUGCUUUGCAAAUAUACCUACAUAUUUUCUAUAAUUAUCUGUUUCUAAUAUUUGCGGUGAUAUUGUAGCGCUGUAAAAACUUAACUUGAAGCUUUUCAUACAGAUUCAUUCAACUUAGUAGUUAACAAUGGUGCAGCUGCUGGCCAAGUUAUAUUUCACACUCAUAUUCAUAUAAUUCCUCGUAAGGCACGUGAUUGCUUGUGGCCUUCUGAGAGUUUGCGGAGGCAUCCCCUAAAGUUGGACCAGGAAACUGUUAAACUUGUAGAUUCUGUUCACAAAGUGCUGUCACUGUCAAGCAACACUGAAGAUAGCAAGGAUCAAGGAUCCAGGAUCUAGUCUCACCAAAAUUCAGCGCAAUCAUUGAUCUGGUGUUUGUUGUUUAUACUAUGAUGGUAUGUACCUUCUGAACAUGUACAGAUCUUUGGCUUGACUUGCACAAAUGGAUCGUCGUCGUCGAUAAAUUGAAUGAGCUUAUAUGAAAAGGUUUUAAGACAUGCCCCCCCACACACACAGGAGAGGAGAGGAGAGGAGAGAGAGAGAGAGAGAGAGAGAGAGAGAGAGAGAGAGACAUUGCAUGGACUUUGCCUCAAUAGCAUUACUUGAAGCCGGUUACUGCUAUGGCUAUGGUCAUUACUAUUGUUCAAAUUAGUCGAUUUUGUACCACAACAUUUGGGUUCUUAUUGUCCUAUUUGUGUUUUAUGUCCUUGAGAUUUUUAAUAUAUAUGUGAAGCCCUUAUUAGUGAGUGUUUGACUCAAA
Alnus glutinosa is the source of this 781-nucleotide long non-coding RNA. RefSeq lists it as uncharacterized. The record is from RefSeq and is a predicted model, not a curated record. Lineage: Eukaryota; Viridiplantae; Streptophyta; Magnoliopsida; Fagales; Betulaceae. The transcript is spliced from 3 exons.